AAGGUAGCGCAAUCACUUGUUCUUUAAAUGAGGACUAGUAUGAACGGCAUCACGAGGAUUAUACUGUCUCCCCCCUUUAAUCAGUGAAACUGAUCCCCCCGUGAAGAAGCGGGAAUAAACAUAUAAGACGAGAAGACCCUAUGGAGCUUUAAACUCAACACCACUUAUCUAAAACACUCCAUAAUAAACAGAUAAGCUUGUGAACGUUUUAGGUUGGGGUGACCACGGAGUAAAAUUUAACCUCCACGUUGAAAGGCCUUAUCCUUAUCCAAGAGCCACAUCUCCAAGAAUCAACAAAUUGACAUUUAUUGACCCAAAUAUUUUUUGACCAACGAACCAAGUUACCCUAGGGAUAACAGCGCAAUCCAUUUCAAGAGCUCAUAUCGACAAAUGGGUUUACGACCUCGAUGUUGGAUCAGGGUAUCCCAGUGGUGCAGCCGCUACUA
Molecule: ribosomal RNA, 446 nt
Filed under: Chiasmocleis avilapiresae
Lineage: Eukaryota; Metazoa; Chordata; Amphibia; Anura; Microhylidae
Description: partial large subunit ribosomal RNA
Rfam family: Bacterial large subunit ribosomal RNA
Source: RNAcentral